GGUUAAGCGACUAAGCGUACACGGUGGAUGCCCUGGCAGUCAGAGGCGAUGAAGGACGUGCUAAUCUGCGAAAAGCGUCGGUAAGGUGAUAUGAACCGUUAUAGCCGGCGAUGUCCGAAUGGGGAAACCCAGUGCAAUUCGUUGCACUAUCGUUAACUGAAUACAUAGGUUAACGAGGCGAACCGGGGGAACUGAAACAUCUAAGUACCCCGAGGAAAAGAAAUCAACCGAGAUUCCCCCAGUAGCGGCGAGCGAACGGGGAGCAGCCCAGAGUCUGAAUCAGCUUGUGUGUUAGUGGAACGGUCUGGAAAGUCCGACGGUACAGGGUGAUAGUCCCGUACACCAAAAUGCACAGGCUGUGAACUCGAAGAGUAGGGCGGGACACGUGGUAUCCUGUCUGAAUAUGGGGGGACCAUCCUCCAAGGCUAAAUACUCCUGACUGACCGAUAGUGAACCAGUACCGUGAGGGAAAGGCGAAAAGAACCCCGGCGAGGGGAGUGAAAAAGAACCUGAAACCGUGUACGUACAAGCAGUGGGAGCACCUUCGGGUGUGACUGCGUACCUUUUGUAUAAUGGGUCAGCGACUUAUAUUCUGUAGCAAGGUUAACCGUAUAGGGGAGCCGCAGGGAAACCGAGUCUUAACUGGGCGUUAAGUUGCAGGGUAUAGACCCGAAACCCGGUGAUCUAGCCAUGGGCAGGUUGAAGGUUGGGUAACACUAACUGGAGGACCGAACCGACUAAUGUUGAAAAAUUAGCGGAUGACUUGUGGCUGGGGGUGAAAGGCCAAUCAAACCGGGAGAUAGCUGGUUCUCCCCGAAAGCUAUUUAGGUAGCGCCUCGUGAACUCAUCUUCGGGGGUAGAGCACUGUUUCGGCUAGGGGGUCAUCCCGACUUACCAACCCGAUGCAAACUACGAAUACCGAAGAAUGUUAUCACGGGAGACACACGGCGGGUGCUAACGUCCGUCGUGAAGAGGGAAACAACCCAGACCGCCAGCUAAGGUCCCAAAGUCAUGGUUAAGUGGGAAACGAUGUGGGAAGGCACAGACAGCCAGGAUGUUGGCUUAGAAGCAGCCAUCAUUUAAAGAAAGCGUAAUAGCUCACUGGUCAAGUCGGCCUGCGCGGAAGAUGUAACGGGGCUAAACCAUGCACCGAAGCUGCGGCAGCGACACUAUGUGUUGUUGGGUAGGGGAGCGUUCUGUAAGCCUGCGAAGGUGACCUGUGAGGGUUGCUGGAGGUAUCAGAAGUGCGAAUGCUGACAUAAGUAACGAUAAAGCGGGUGAAAAGCCCGCUCGCCGGAAGACCAAGGGUUCCUGUCCAACGUUAAUCGGGGCAGGGUGAGUCGACCCCUAAGGCGAGGCCGAAAGGCGUAGUCGAUGGGAAACAGGUUAAUAUUCCUGUACUUGGUGUUACUGCGAAGGGGGGACGGAGAAGGCUAUGUUAGCCGGGCGACGGUUGUCCCGGUUUAAGCAUGUAGGCUGAUUGUCCAGGCAAAUCCGGAUAAUCAAGGCUGAGGUGUGAUGACGAGGCACUACGGUGCUGAAGUAACAAAUGCCCUGCUUCCAGGAAAAGCCUCUAAGCAUCAGGUAACAUCAAAUCGUACCCCAAACCGACACAGGUGGUCAGGUAGAGAAUACCAAGGCGCUUGAGAGAACUCGGGUGAAGGAACUAGGCAAAAUGGUGCCGUAACUUCGGGAGAAGGCACGCUGGUGUGUAGGUGAAGCCCCUGCGGGUGGAGCUGAGACCAGUCGAAGAUACCAGCUGGCUGCAACUGUUUAUUAAAAACACAGCACUGUGCAAACACGAAAGUGGACGUAUACGGUGUGACGCCUGCCCGGUGCCGGAAGGUUAAUUGAUGGGGUUAUCCGUAAGGAGAAGCUCUUGAUCGAAGCCCCGGUAAACGGCGGCCGUAACUAUAACGGUCCUAAGGUAGCGAAAUUCCUUGUCGGGUAAGUUCCGACCUGCACGAAUGGCGUAAUGAUGGCCAGGCUGUCUCCACCCGAGACUCAGUGAAAUUGAACUCGCUGUGAAGAUGCAGUGUACCCGCGGCAAGACGGAAAGACCCCGUGAACCUUUACUAUAGCUUGACACUGAACAUUGAGCCUUGAUGUGUAGGAUAGGUGGGAGGCUUUGAAGCGUGGACGCCAGUCUGCGUGGAGCCAACCUUGAAAUACCACCCUUUAAUGUUUGAUGUUCUAACGUUGGCCCCUGACCGGGGUUGCGGACAGUGUCUGGUGGGUAGUUUGACUGGGGCGGUCUCCUCCCAAAGCGUAACGGAGGAGCACGAAGGUUAGCUAAUCCUGGUCGGACAUCAGGAGGUUAGUGCAAUGGCAUAAGCUAGCUUGACUGCGAGCGUGACGGCGCGAGCAGGUGCGAAAGCAGGUCAUAGUGAUCCGGUGGUUCUGAAUGGAAGGGCCAUCGCUCAACGGAUAAAAGGUACUCCGGGGAUAACAGGCUGAUACCGCCCAAGAGUUCAUAUCGACGGCGGUGUUUGGCACCUCGAUGUCGGCUCAUCACAUCCUGGGGCUGAAGUAGGUCCCAAGGGUAUGGCUGUUCGCCAUUUAAAGUGGUACGCGAGCUGGGUUUAGAACGUCGUGAGACAGUUCGGUCCCUAUCUGCCGUGGGCGCUGGAGAAUUGAGGGGGGCUGCUCCUAGUACGAGAGGACCGGAGUGGACGCAUCACUGGUGUUCGGGUUGUCAUGCCAAUGGCACUGCCCGGUAGCUAAAUGCGGAAGAGAUAAGUGCUGAAAGCAUCUAAGCACGAAACUUGCCCCGAGAUGAGUUCUCCCUGAGACUUUAAGUCUCCUGAAGGAACGUUGAAGACGACGACGUUGAUAGGCCGGGUGUGUAAGCGCAGCGAUGCGUUGAGCUAACCGGUACUAAUGAACCGUGAGGCUUAACCUU
RNAcentral lists this ribosomal RNA (2902 nucleotides) under Klebsiella pneumoniae. RNAcentral's name for it is "23S ribosomal RNA". It matches the Rfam family "Bacterial large subunit ribosomal RNA". The record is from RNAcentral. Lineage: Bacteria; Pseudomonadati; Pseudomonadota; Gammaproteobacteria; Enterobacterales; Enterobacteriaceae.